RNAcentral lists this ribosomal RNA (268 nucleotides) under uncultured Glomus. RNAcentral's name for it is "partial 18S ribosomal RNA". It matches the Rfam family "Eukaryotic small subunit ribosomal RNA", at positions 548 to 822 of the family's 1831-position model. The record is from RNAcentral. Lineage: Eukaryota; Fungi; Glomeromycota; Glomeromycetes; Glomerales; Glomeraceae.
UUGGAGGGCAAGUCUGGUGCCAGCAGCCGCGGUAAUUCCAGCUCCAAUAGCGUAUAUUAAAGUUGUUGCAGUUAAAAAGCUCGUAGUUGAAUUUCGGGAUCAGACUGUCGGUCGUGCCUCGGUACGCACUGGCAUUAUUGGUUCCUACCUUCUGAAGAACCGCGAUGUCAUUAAUUUGGUGUCGUGGGGAAUCAGGACUGUUACUUUGAAAAAAUUAGAGUGUUUAAAGCAGGCUUACGCUUGAAUACAUUAGCAUGGAAUAAUGAAA